Vigna umbellata (rice bean) is the source of this 1068-nucleotide long non-coding RNA. RefSeq lists it as uncharacterized. NCBI's taxonomy places the organism in Eukaryota, Viridiplantae, Streptophyta, Magnoliopsida, Fabales, Fabaceae. The record is from RefSeq and is a predicted model, not a curated record.
UCAAAGGCCGUUGCGAGUCGCGGUCAUCGUUGUUCACCGUCGGAGGCAUCACCGGCAUGGUGUCAGGUCCUCCCUUUUCCUUCUUCUCUUCAUGCGUGAGAGAGGAGCUCUCUCGUUCCUCCGUUAGUCGCCUCUUGAGCGAGCCUAGCCGCCGCGAGUUUUCUCUGGUUGGGCCUGCAAAAAUUCUAUCUUUUUCGCAACCCUUUUCGAAGAAGGGGUUGCGUUUUGUUUUCGCACUGGUUGGGCUUGAGAAGAUUUGAGUUUGUUUUUUCUUUCUUUCUGGGACGGGUCUGUUAUUGCACACACUGUUCGGCCAUUGUUCCAUUUUGGGAGAAUUGACUGAUGAAUCAGAAUCAUUGGACUUAAGAGCUCAUCAUUCUAGAUCGACGCAAUCAGAGGAGUCUGCUCUGGUCUUGGAAAGGAGCUACUAUGGUCAUCUUAACCCUUCAUCUAGUCUUCCACACUUGCAACCUUUUGCUGGAGGUACCCAACAUUCUGAGAGCAAUGCUGCCUACUUUUCAUGGCCUACAUUGAGUCGCUGGAAUGAUGCAGCAGAAGAUAGAGCCAACUAUUUUGGGAACCUUCAAAAGGGUGUGCUGCCUGAAACUUUGGGUGGAUUGCCAACACGAAUUUGCUUUGCGAUGUGUGGUUGGAGUUUUUGACGAGGGAAAUAAUUUCUUCUAUGGUAGACGCCGGAGAUGCAGUAGAAGCAAUUUCCCAAGAUGCGGCAGAAGCAGAUUGUCCUCCGAGACAGUCGCCGAAGAUGCUGUUGAAGGUACCCGUUCUGAGAAGCCUCUCCCCGUGUAGGUGCUGAUGACGCCGGAAUCCACCGUCAGUGACCUCAUUGAGACAACGACAAUACGUGAAGGAAAGAUGAAGACGUUGUAGGAUGAUGAAGACUAUGAAUCCCUAACCUCAACAUCUUGGAGACCAGAAACAUUGAGAUUGAAGAGGGAUCCACAAGCGAUGGACACUGGUCACCCCUCUAAGAUCUUGCAAAGAACGUUCAGAACCCUUUUCAAUUUUGCCAUGUCAUACUUAUUUAAUUUAAAUAAAAAUUUCACAUAA